ACCAGAUCAUCGCUGCAGUUACGAAAGAUGGGAUGGGGGGGGGGUUCCCAAAAUUUGUUGUUCUGAACACAACCAACAAACGGUCCCUUUCUUGAUUUUUGAAUACGUAGAAAUAAGGUAUCACAUCGAAGCUAAGCGGUACAAAAAACAUCAUUCAGGAGUUGAAAACAAAGCAUCAAAAGUUACAUAAAUUGUCAUUGAUGGUAGUUUAAAUAAAAAGCCGGAGACGUAUCAUGAGAUAAAUGAUAAAGCGUUGAAUUAUUAUUUAUUAUUAUAUUAUAUUAGGUUAUUCUGCCUAAAGUGGUAUUCCACAUAUCUCGUUUGCUUUAAAUAAAAUAAAAACCCUUAAAGUAAGUAGAUUUUGAACUAAAGGCGAUAUACGCGGUAAAAUCGGUAAAAUGAUAACUAACCCGGGUAGUCAGCGCCCCUAGCGGAUGCCCCAAAAUUUUCUCAAGCUUUAGCAGACGCCAAAGCAAGCAGACGACAGUUCUUCGACGGUCAGACCUAUUGCCAUGCCGGUUCGACAGGGCAUGCACUUUUUUGGGCGAGUUACCAAAAGGACUCCAGGGUAAACGACUUUUGGUUGCAGGUUUCCGACACUUGGACAUCUGGCACACGACGACAGGACAUCUGCCCAUCGACUUUAGGACUAGUGGUUCCCGACAUUUGGACACACAACAAAAUGUUGCUGAACCCAAUUAGCAGAAUACUCGACCAGUACUCAGCGACGAAAAGACUUCCAGUUAAACGACGAGUGGACUCCCAGGCAAUCGACGUUCGAACUCCCGGGAACUCCUCUUCCAGCGACAAAAGGACUCCCAAUCCAGUGACGCACGGAUUUGCUUAUUUGUUGCAGCUGAAGGAUCGUUAAGAACAUAG
Molecule: long non-coding RNA, 879 nt
Organism: Daphnia magna
Lineage: Eukaryota; Metazoa; Arthropoda; Branchiopoda; Diplostraca; Daphniidae
Exons: 2
Source: RefSeq, a predicted model, not a curated record